AGCUCCAAUAGCGUAUAUUAAAGUUGUUGCGGUUAAAAGCUCGUAGUUGGAUUUCUGCUGAGGACGACCGGUCCGCCCUCUGGGUGAGUAUCUGGCUCGGCCUGGGCAUCUUCUUGGAGAACGUAGCUGCACUUGACUGUGUGGUGCGGUAUCCAAGACCUUUACUUUGAGGAAAUUAGAGUGUUUCAAGCAGGCACACGCCUUGAAUACAUUAGCAUGGAAUAAUGCUGUAAGACCAUGGUAUUGCUGUGUUGGUUUCUAUCACCUAAGGUAAUGAUAAACAGGGAUAGUUGGGGGCAUUCGUAUUUAACUGUCAGAGGUGAAAUUCUUGGAUUUGUUAAAGACGAACGACUGCGAAAGCAUUUGCCAAGGAUGUUUUCA
Molecule: ribosomal RNA, 381 nt
Filed under: uncultured eukaryote
Lineage: Eukaryota
Description: SSU rRNA
Rfam family: Eukaryotic small subunit ribosomal RNA
Source: RNAcentral